RNAcentral lists this ribosomal RNA (253 nucleotides) under uncultured bacterium. RNAcentral describes it as "partial 16S ribosomal RNA". It matches the Rfam family "Bacterial small subunit ribosomal RNA", at positions 524 to 776 of the family's 1533-position model. The record is from RNAcentral.
UACGAAGGGGGCUAGCGUUGCUCGGAAUCACUGGGCGUAAAGGGUGCGUAGGCGGGUCUUUAAGUCAGAGGUGAAAUCCUGGAGCUCAACUCCAGAACUGCCUUUGAUACUGAGGAUCUUGAGUACGGGAGAGGUGAGUGGAACUACGAGUGUAGAGGUGAAAUUCGUAGAUAUUCGCAAGAACACCAGUGGCGAAGGCGGCUCACUGGCCCGUUACUGACGCUGAGGCACGAAAGCGUGGGGAGCAAACAGG